Molecule: ribosomal RNA, 492 nt
Filed under: uncultured bacterium
Lineage: Bacteria
Description: bacterial SSU rRNA
Rfam family: Bacterial small subunit ribosomal RNA
Source: RNAcentral
CGGCGUGCCUAACACAUGCAAGUCGUACGAGAAAGUUGGCUUCGGCCGAUGAGUAAAGUGGCGCACGGGUGAGUAAUGCGUGGAUAAUCUGCCCUUUAGUUGGGAAUAACGUACCGAAAGGUGCGCUAAUACCUGAUAAUACUGCAUAACUACUGUUGUGUAGUCAAAGAAGGCCUCUGUUUACAAGCUUUUGCUGAAGGAUGAGUCCGCGUACCAUUAGCUGGUUGGUGGGGUAAUGGCCUACCAAGGCUACGAUGGUUAGCUGGUCUGAGAGGAUGAUCAGCCACACUGGAACUGAGACACGGUCCAGACUCCGUACGGGAGGCAGCAGUGAGGAAUAUUGCGCAAUGGGGGCAACCCUGACGCAGCAACGCCGCGUGAGUGAGGAAGGUUUUCGGACCGUAAAGCUCUGUCGAGCGGGAAGAAAUGUAUCAUGGCUAAUAUCCAUGAUACUUGACGGUACCGCUAAAGGAAGCACCGGCUAACUCCGUG